Molecule: ribosomal RNA, 292 nt
Filed under: uncultured bacterium
Lineage: Bacteria
Description: partial 16S ribosomal RNA
Rfam family: Bacterial small subunit ribosomal RNA
Source: RNAcentral
GUGCCAGCAGCCGCGGUAAGACAGAGGAUGCAAGCGUUAUCCGGAAUGAUUGGGCGUAAAGCGUCUGUAGGUGGCUUAAAAAGUCUCCUGUCAAAGAUCAGGGCUUAACCCUGGGCCGGCAGGAGAAACUCUUAGGCUAGAGUUUGGUAGGGGCAGAGGGAAUUCCCGGUGGAGCGGUGAAAUGCGUAGAGAUCGGGAGGAACACCAAAGGCGAAGGCACUCUGCUGGGCCAGAACUGACACUGAGAGACGAAAGCGAGGGGAGCAAAAGGGAUUAGAUACCCCUGUAGUCC